Molecule: non-coding RNA, 487 nt
Organism: Misgurnus anguillicaudatus (oriental weatherfish)
Lineage: Eukaryota; Metazoa; Chordata; Actinopteri; Cypriniformes; Cobitidae
Source: RefSeq, a predicted model, not a curated record
AAAAAAUGGUUACUAAACUUUUACCACACAAAAAAAAACAUUCAUUUUCGUAAGGGGAAUAUGAGUGUUUGUUUUUUUUGUAGUUUUUGAGUCAAUUGCAUACCGCUUUUAGCUGUACACAUUAAUUAACUUAAACAGUUUUCGUAAAUGCAUUUCAGAGAAAAGUGAAUUCUGAGAUUUGAAUAAUGCAUCUGACGUGUGGGAUGACGUCACGACGCACGUAUUUUGAUUUUUACCAGUCGUUCAAGACAGACGGAUUCAGUCCCAAGAAGCUAAAGUUUUUCAAAGACAUUUGUAGGGAGGACUUUGCAGCUAAUGAUUUCCUAAGGCUGAACCAAAACCUGCCAGACUAAAGUUAAUUUGGGAGAGAAAGACGUUGUAAACUUAAUCAUCUUGACAUUCUUCAAUGAGUAAUUGUUCAAUUUUUAGGCAAAUACUGUACACUUUGAAUGCUGUGAAUAAAACUAUAUUUUAAAUAUAUUUAAAA